CGACGUGGGUAACCUGCCUCAUACAGGGGGAUAGCAGCUGGAAACGGCUGAUAAAACCGCAUAAGCGCACAGCAUCGCAUGAUGCAGUGUGAAAAACUCCGGUGGUAUGAGAUGGACCCGCGUCUGAUUAGCUGGUUGGUGAGGUAACGGCCCACCAAGGCGACGAUCAGUAGCCGGCCUGAGAGGGUGACCGGCCACAUUGGGACUGAGACACGGCCCAA
This 221-nucleotide ribosomal RNA is filed under the name uncultured bacterium. RNAcentral describes it as "partial 16S ribosomal RNA". It matches the Rfam family "Bacterial small subunit ribosomal RNA", at positions 113 to 334 of the family's 1533-position model. The record is from RNAcentral.